AAGGUUUUAGCUUAAUUAAAGCAUUUGUUUUGCAUACAGAAGAUGUGGGAUAGUAUCCCGCAAGUCUUA
RNAcentral lists this transfer RNA (69 nucleotides) under Menticirrhus littoralis (Gulf kingcroaker). Its description in RNAcentral is "tRNA-Ala". It matches the Rfam family "tRNA". Rfam says of the family: Transfer RNA (tRNA) molecules are approximately 80 nucleotides in length. The record is from RNAcentral. Lineage: Eukaryota; Metazoa; Chordata; Actinopteri; Sciaenidae.